This 460-nucleotide ribosomal RNA is filed under the name uncultured bacterium. RNAcentral's name for it is "partial 16S ribosomal RNA". It matches the Rfam family "Bacterial small subunit ribosomal RNA", at positions 338 to 795 of the family's 1533-position model. The record is from RNAcentral.
CCUACGGGUGGCAGCAGUGAGGAAUAUUGGUCAAUGGACGAGAGUCUGAACCAGCCAAGUAGCGUGAAGGAUGACUGCCCUCUGGUUUUUAACCUCUUUUUAUAAGGGAAUAAAACGAGGCACGUGUUCCUUUUUGCAUGUACUUUAUGAAUAAGGAUCGGCUAACUCCGUGCCAGCAGCCGCGGUAAUACGGAGGAUCCGAGCGUUAUCCGGAUUUUUUGGGUUUAAAGGGAGCGUAGAUGGGUUGUUAAGUCAGUUGUGAAAGUUUGCGGCUCAACCGUAAAAUUGCAAUUGAUACUGGCAGUCUUGAGUACAGUUGAGGUAAGCGGAAUUCGUGGUGUAGCGGUGAAAUGCGUAGAUAUCACGAAGAACCCCAAUUGCGAAGGCAGCUUACUAGACUGUGACUGACAUUGAGGCUCGAAAGUGUGGGUAUCAAACAGGAUUAGAUACCCUGGUAGUC